Molecule: long non-coding RNA, 962 nt
Organism: Prinia subflava (tawny-flanked prinia)
Lineage: Eukaryota; Metazoa; Chordata; Aves; Passeriformes; Cisticolidae
Exons: 4
Source: RefSeq, a predicted model, not a curated record
CCCCGCCCGCCGCUGCCGCUGGGCACGCCCCUGCCGGGCCCGGCCUGCCCGCCCGCCCCUUCUGCGGCCUUUCAAAAUACUCCCAUAAUUGCUCUACAUUACCAAACACCCAACACAACAAAAUCAAGAUAUGCCUGUAGCACAUGGAGGCUUCCAGCCAUCAGUGACCAAUGGAUUGAGGUGCAAUUUGUCUCUGGCCAUUAUCUUCAAUGCCAAUCAAGAAACAACUCCUAUUGCCUACUCCCUUAUCUACAGUUCUGUCUCCUCAGUCUUCAACAGCACCACAUUCCACUAUUUCUGUCAGGUGAGGGAGAGGAAACAAGAAGGUUGUGACACAGGGAUGCUGCUUAAAUUACACGCCCUGUCUCACGCAGCAAAUGUCUCAUCGUCAUGGGUUCUUCACAGGGGCCAUGUAUGACCCAGAUAGACACAGUCACAGCACCCUUGGUGGGAGCACCCUUUCACUCACCUGAAAACAUGAGACCUUGUCUCUCCCCAGCCACUCCUGUGUCUAGGAGGGAGUUUUAAGUUAGUCACGUGUGAGUCAUGAACUCUGGAACAGCCAAACAUGUCAAGAUGGAAGAUCUGCCUGGAGACACAGCCUGUCACAGCCUCAGCUGCUGAAUAUACUGAUAUAUUAAUAAAUGUGUAUCUAGGCACCCUCUUUGCAGUUCACUUGCUCCUUGAACACUUAAACUUCUCCUGGCUUUCUUGUAGCUGACUCUUGCACACAGUUACUCAAUUUUCUACUGCAACUGCCAUGGGCAUGUUUCCAAAAUGUUGCCUAUCGGGCAGAUGGAGGCUAUGAAUGCAAUCCCACUCUGAGAUGGUCUGAACAGCAGCUCAGUCAGGACUGCUCUGUUCUUUACUCCUAUCACAUGGUCACGGUGAAGUAACCAGCAAAACUUUUCUUACAAUUCUCUUCAACUACACCUCUUUUGUUCAAGUGCCAAAAUUCACAG